GAUGAACGCUGGCGGCGUGCUUAACACAUGCAAGUCGAACGAUGAAGCCCAGCUUGCUGGGUGGAUUAGUGGCGAACGGGUGAGUAACACGUGAGUAACCUGCCCUUAACUCUGGGAUAAGCCUGGGAAACUGGGUCUAAUACCGGAUAGGAGCGUCCACCGCACGGUGGGUGUUGGAAAGAUUUAUCGGUUUUGGAUGGACUCGCGGCCUAUCAGCUUGUUGGUGAGGUAAUGGCUCACCAAGGCGACGACGGGUAGCCGGCCAGAGAGGGUGACGGGCCACUGUGGGUGUGAGACAGGGCCGAGACUCCUGCGAGAGGGCGCAGUGGGAUAUAUCGCACAAGGGGGGAAAGCCAUAUGGAGCCACGGCGCGUGGGGUAUGAGGGCUUUCGGGUUGUAACCCUCUUGCAGGAGGGAAAAAGCGAAAGUGACGGAUCCGUCAGAAGACGCCCCGUCAAUCUACG
RNAcentral lists this ribosomal RNA (464 nucleotides) under uncultured bacterium. RNAcentral's name for it is "partial 16S ribosomal RNA". It matches the Rfam family "Bacterial small subunit ribosomal RNA", at positions 28 to 505 of the family's 1533-position model. The record is from RNAcentral.